UGGGGAAUAUUGCACAAUGGGCGCAAGCCUGAUGCAGCGACGCCGCGUGAGGGAUGGAGGCCUUCGGGUUGUAAACCUCUUUCGCCAGUGAAGCAGGCCAUCUUCUUUGUGGGGUGGUUGACGGUAGCUGGAUAAGAAGCGCCGGCUAACUACGUGCCAGCAGCCGCGGUACUACGUAGGGCGCGAGCGUUGUCCGGAAUUAUUGGGCGUAAAGAGCUCGUAGGCGGCUGGUCGCGUCUGUCGUGAAAUCCCCUGGCUUAACUGGGGGCUUGCGGUGGGUACGGGCCGGCUUGAGUGCGGUAGGGGAGACUGGAAUUCCUGGUGUAGCGGUGGAAUGCGCAGAUAUCAGGAGGAACACCGGUGGCGAAGGCGGGGCUCUGGGCCGUUACUGACGCUGAGGAGCGAAAGCGUGGGGAGCGAACAGG
RNAcentral lists this ribosomal RNA (425 nucleotides) under bacterium. RNAcentral's name for it is "partial 16S ribosomal RNA". It matches the Rfam family "Bacterial small subunit ribosomal RNA", at positions 355 to 776 of the family's 1533-position model. The record is from RNAcentral.